UUGCAGCCCGACUUGAGUGGAAAUCCCCGCCGCGGCGGGAUUGGGAACGGAAGGCGGAAAUGCU
This 64-nucleotide unclassified non-coding RNA is filed under the name Halpernia humi. RNAcentral's name for it is "Chryseobacterium humi Flavo-1 RNA". Lineage: Bacteria; Pseudomonadati; Bacteroidota; Flavobacteriia; Flavobacteriales; Weeksellaceae. The record is from RNAcentral.